AUAAUGGGUCAGCGACUUAUAUUCUGUAGCAAGGUUAACCGAAUAGGGGAGCCGAAGGGAAACCGAGUCUUAACUGGGCGUUAAGUUGCAGGGUAUAGACCCGAAACCCGGUGAUCUAGCCAUGGGCAGGUUGAAGGUUGGGUAACACUAACUGGAGGACCGAACCGACUAAUGUUGAAAAAUUAGCGGAUGACUUGUGGCUGGGGGUGAAAGGCCAAUCAAACCGGGAGAUAGCUGGUUCUCCCCGAAAGCUAUUUAGGUAGCGCCUCGUGAAUUCAUCUCCGGGGGUAGAGCACUGUUUCGGCAAGGGGGUCAUCCCGACUUACCAACCCGAUGCAAACUGCGAAUACCGGAGAAUGUUAUCACGGGAGACACACGGCGGGUGCUAACGUCCGUCGUGAAGAGGGAAACAACCCAGACCGCCAGCUAAGGUCCCAAAGUCAUGGUUAAGUGGGAAACGAUGUGGGAAGGCCCAGACAGCCAGGAUGUUGGCUUAGAAGCAGCCAUCAUUUAAAGAAAGCGUAAUAGCUCACUGGUCGAGUCGGCCUGCGCGGAAGAUGUAACGGGGCUAAACCAUGCACCGAAGCUGCGGCAGCGACGCUUAUGCGUUGUUGGGUAGGGGAGCGUUCUGUAAGCCUGCGAAGGUGUGCUGUGAGGCAUGCUGGAGGUAUCAGAAGUGCGAAUGCUGACAUAAGUAACGAUAAAGCGGGUGAAAAGCCCGCUCGCCGGAAGACCAAGGGUUCCUGUCCAACGUUAAUCGGGGCAGGGUGAGUCGACCCCUAAGGCGAGGCCGAAAGGCGUAGUCGAUGGGAAACAGGUUAAUAUUCCUGUACUUGGUGUUACUGCGAAGGGGGGACGGAGAAGGCUAUGUUGGCCGGGCGACGGUUGUCCCGGUUUAAGCGUGUAGGCUGGUUUUCCAGGCAAAUCCGGAAAAUCAAGGCUGAGGCGUGAUGACGAGGCACUACGGUGCUGAAGCAACAAAUGCCCUGCUUCCAGGAAAAGCCUCUAAGCAUCAGGUAACAUCAAAUCGUACCCCAAACCGACACAGGUGGUCAGGUAGAGAAUACCAAGGCGCUUGAGAGAACUCGGGUGAAGGAACUAGGCAAAAUGGUGCCGUAACUUCGGGAGAAGGCACGCUGAUAUGUAGGUGAAGUCCCUCGCGGAUGGAGCUGAAAUCAGUCGAAGAUACCAGCUGGCUGCAACUGUUUAUUAAAAACACAGCACUGUGCAAACACGAAAGUGGACGUAUACGGUGUGACGCCUGCCCGGUGCCGGAAGGUUAAUUGAUGGGGUCAGCGCAAGCGAAGCUCUUGAUCGAAGCCCCGGUAAACGGCGGCCGUAACUAUAACGGUCCUAAGGUAGCGAAAUUCCUUGUCGGGUAAGUUCCGACCUGCACGAAUGGCGUAAUGAUGGCCAGGCUGUCUCCACCCGAGACUCAGUGAAAUUGAACUCGCUGUGAAGAUGCAGUGUACCCGCGGCAAGACGGAAAGACCCCGUGAACCUUUACUAUAGCUUGACACUGAACAUUGAGCCUUGAUGUGUAGGAUAGGUGGGAGGCUUUGAAGUGUGGACGCCAGUCUGCAUGGAGCCGACCUUGAAAUACCACCCUUUAAUGUUUGAUGUUCUAACGUUGACCCGUGAUCCGGGUUGCGGACAGUG
This 1659-nucleotide ribosomal RNA is filed under the name Escherichia coli. RNAcentral's name for it is "partial 23S ribosomal RNA". It matches the Rfam family "Bacterial large subunit ribosomal RNA", at positions 612 to 2256 of the family's 2925-position model. The record is from RNAcentral. Lineage: Bacteria; Pseudomonadati; Pseudomonadota; Gammaproteobacteria; Enterobacterales; Enterobacteriaceae.